This 270-nucleotide ribosomal RNA is filed under the name uncultured archaeon. RNAcentral's name for it is "partial 16S ribosomal RNA". It matches the Rfam family "Archaeal small subunit ribosomal RNA", at positions 477 to 747 of the family's 1478-position model. The record is from RNAcentral.
CUGCAGCUCAAGUGGUAGCCGCUAUUAUUGGGCCUAAAACGUUCGUAGCCGGUUUAGUAAAUGCUUGGGUAAAUUGUGUCGCUUAACGAUACGAAUACCGGGUAGACUGCUAAACUUGGGACCGGGAGAGGCUAGAGGUACUCCUGGGGUAGAGGUGAAAUUCUGUAAUCCUGGGGGGACCACCAGUGGCGAAGGCGUCUAGCUAGAACGGGUCUGACGGUGAGGAACGAAGCCCUGGGGCGCAAACCGGAUUAGAUACCCGAGUAGUCC